Transfer RNA from Puccinia triticina 1-1 BBBD Race 1, 86 nucleotides. It matches the Rfam family "tRNA". From Rfam's summary of the family: Transfer RNA (tRNA) molecules are approximately 80 nucleotides in length. Their secondary structure includes four short double-helical elements and three loops (D, anti-codon, and T loops). Lineage: Eukaryota; Fungi; Basidiomycota; Pucciniomycetes; Pucciniales; Pucciniaceae. The record is from Rfam.
GUGUAUGUAGCCUAGUUGGUAAAGGCAGCACUCUAGUAUGUUUCUCAGCAUAGCUGAGGUUGUGAGUUUGAAUCUCACCAGACACA